GCUUCUUUGAUUGGGUCAAGAUAUUCACGAUCCAAUCAAUUUUAUGAAAAUCAUAACUUGCGAAAUAGAAAUCGGCAGUAUCACUCGCCUGGAUCUGAUUAUAAUCAUGAUUAUCCAGGCCCUUAAUCUACUGGCACAAU
This is a small nucleolar RNA of Arabidopsis thaliana (thale cress), 140 nucleotides long. NCBI's taxonomy places the organism in Eukaryota, Viridiplantae, Streptophyta, Magnoliopsida, Brassicales, Brassicaceae. The record is from RefSeq.